RNAcentral lists this unclassified non-coding RNA (358 nucleotides) under soil metagenome. Its description in RNAcentral is "partial contains 5.8S ribosomal RNA, internal transcribed spacer 2, and large subunit ribosomal RNA". The stretch from base 1 to 120 matches the Rfam family "5.8S ribosomal RNA", at positions 35 to 154 of the family's 154-position model. The record is from RNAcentral.
GAUGAAGAACGCAGCGAAAUGCGAUAAGUAAUGUGAAUUGCAGAAUUCAGUGAAUCAUCGAAUCUUUGAACGCACAUUGCGCCCGCCAGUAUUCUGGCGGGCAUGCCUGUCCGAGCGUCAUUUCAACCCUCGAACCCCUCCGGGGGGUCGGCGUUGGGGACCUCGGGAGCCCCUAAGACGGGAUCCCGGCCCCGAAAUACAGUGGCGGUCUCGCCGCAGCCUCUCCUGCGCAGUAGUUUACACAACUCGCACCGGGAGCGCGGCGCGUCCACGUCCGUAAAACACCCAACUUCUGAAAUGUUGACCUCGGAUCAGGUAGGAAUACCCGCUGAACUUAAGCAUAUCAAUAAGCGGAGGA